RNAcentral lists this long non-coding RNA (5910 nucleotides) under Triticum aestivum (bread wheat). Its description in RNAcentral is "long non-coding RNA (TAES_LNC003087)". Lineage: Eukaryota; Viridiplantae; Streptophyta; Magnoliopsida; Poales; Poaceae. The record is from RNAcentral.
UCCGUGAUACUAGACAAAAAGGAUGCUUCUGUAUGGUCCUCAUCAAAUAUACGCCCUACAGAACCGAUAAGGGAGCUCACAUCAGCAAGGGAUCUAUGCAUUGCUAUACUGAGAAAAGAUGGACUCAUAACUGAGUCACAAACUAGAAUCAUUUUAGAGGAAUCCACUGAUUGUAAUGCCAACCACUUGGUGACAUGCAAUACUUGUGGAAGCUUGGAUGUUCCACUAAAGAUGCUUAUAUGUGAUUCUUGUGAAGCAGCAUUCCAUUUGCCUUGUUGCAUCCCUUGUAUUAAGGUGGUACCAGCUGGUGAAUGGUAUUGUCAGCCAUGCUUGAAGAAGAAACCUAAGAGUCUUUAUGGUCAACUGUUAGAGGGCAAGGUCAAGUCUUCCGGGAAUAUGGACCAAAGGCCUCAUGGCAUGAGUCAUACAGAGUACAUGUUCAACGAUGCUGAAUCAUACGUUACUGGGGUUCGACUUGGUGGAGAUUUCCAAGCUGAAGUGCCAGAAUGGUCUGGUCCCAUUUCCAGGUGUGUUGACACAAUUGCUUGUAGUUCUAACAUUUCAAUUGGUUAACUCUGAGAAAACACAUUUGCAUUGGUUAACUCCGAGAAAACACAUUUGCAUUAGUUAUAGGAAUAGUACCAUGUAAUUUUGGUGGAGUAAACAUAAAUUUCUGAAGAUAGCUAAUUAAAUGACUAUCCUUUUUUUUGCAUUCACCAUAAUCUUUAUAAGAUAUGCUCUUCCUAAUCCUUGGAUCAAAUUCAUAGCUAAAUCAUCAUCUUAGAUACUAAUCAAACUUUUUAAAGUGUGCAUGUGCCCAAGUGUAUUCUAAAUUCUAAACUCAGAAGAACAUCGUUGGGGCGUUACCCUUUUAGGGACGUGCCAUAUCGGAACCAGGGUGUGGUGUUAAGUGAUAAGUGAGCAAGGAUCAGGUCAUUGAUCCUUAGUGGCGCUAUAUCGACGCCCGGGUGUAGUGAAAAAUGAGCAAGGGUCUUCGCAUUUGACUCGUUGAGUGCGAAGGGUAAGGAAGCUAGCCGAGCCAAGUAGGAUCCGCUUAGGUAGUUGGAAUGUAGGGUCCGGUAAGUUACGGGAGUUAGUUGAUACAUCGGUUAGGAGACGUGUUGAUAUCCUAUGCGUCCAAGAAACCAAAUGAAAGGGACAUAAGGCGAAGGAGGUGGAGGACACUGGCUACAAGCUGUUGUACACGGGAACAACUACAAAUAGAAAUGGAGUAGGCAUCUUUAUCAACAAGAGCCUUAAGUAUGGAGUGGUAGAUGCAGGAGGCAAGGGACUGAUCAAGAGGCAAGGGGAUUGGACUAUCCUAGUCAAGCUGGUCGUUGGGGACUUAGUUCUCAGUGCUACCAGCGUGUAUGCCCUGCAAAUAGGCCACAUUGAGAGCAUCGAUAGGGAGUUCUAGGAAGGCCUGGACAUGGUUAGCAGUGUACCUAUUGGCGACAAGCUCUUCAUAAGAGGAGACCUCACUGGCCACAUCGGUAUGUUAACACAUGUUUUGAAGGGUGCAUGAUGGCUUUGGUUAUGGCAGCAAGAAUCAAGGAGAGGAUGUCUUAAGCUUUGCUUUAGCCUAUGACAUGAUCGUAGCUAACACAUUCAGAAAGAGAGAAUCCGAUCUAGUGAUUUUUAGUAGUGAUCAACGCUCUAGCCAGAUUGAUUCCAUCCUCUCGAGAAGAGAAGACAUGCGUGCUUGCCUAGAUUGUAAGGUGAUACUUGGAGAGGGAGGGAGAGAGAGAGAGAGGGAGGGAGGGAGGGAGGGAGAGAGAGAGAGAGAGGUGGUGGAAGCUCAGGAGGGCUCUUGGGAGGAAGGUGAUGCGAACAAUAUGUGGACGAAGGUAGCGACUUGCGUUUGGAAGGUGGCUUACGAGGAGUUUGGGGUGACCAGUGAAAGUAGAAGCAAAGCUAAAUACCUGGUGGUGGAACUAUGCUGUCCAGAAGGCUAUUAAGGAAAAGAAAGGUUGUUUCAAAUGCCGACACUUGGAUAUGUGUGCAGGCAACAUAGAGAGUGGCAAAGAAGACCACGAAGUGAGUUGUGAGUGAAGCUAGGGAUUGGGCGUAUGAGGACCUCUACCAACAUUUAAACACGAAGAAAGGCAAAAGGGACAUCUAUACGAUGGUCAAGAUCCGAGAUAGGAAGACGAGGGGUGUCAACCAAGUCAAAUGCAUCGAGGACGGAGCAGAUCGGCUUCUAUUGAAGGACGAGGAGAUCAAGCAUAGAUGGCGAGAGUACUUUGACAAACUAUUCGACGGAGAGAAUGAGAGCUCACCAUUAAGCUUGACAACUCCGUUCUUGAUAUCAACAUAUGUUUUGUGCGACGAAUGCAGGAGUUUGAGAUCAGGGAGGCUUUAAAAAGGAUGAAAGGAGACAAGGCGAUGGGCCCUAUUUGUAUCCCCAUUGAGGUGUGGAGAGGCGUGGGAGACAUCGAUAUUAUGGCUAACUAAGCUUUUCAAUCUCAUUUUGGUGAGACAAGAUGUUCGAAGAAUGAAGGCGGAGUAUAUUAUUCGUACCAAUCUUCAACAACAAUGGGGUUGUUCAAAGUUGUACAAAUACCGUGGAAUUAAGUUGAUGAGCCAUACAAUGAAGCUAUGGGAGAGACUCAUUGAGCACCGCUUAAGAAGAAUGACACGCGUGACCAAACAUCAUUUUGGUUUCAUGCUUGGGAGGUCGGCCAUGGGAGCCAUUUUCUUGGUACAACAACUUAUGGGGAGAUACAUGGAGCAAAAGAAGGACCUGCACAUGGUGUUCAUUGACUUGGAAAAGGCCUACGAUAAGAUGCCGCGGAAUGUCAUGUGGUGGGCCUUGGAGAUACACAAAGUCCCAACAAAAUACAUUACCCUCAUCAAAGACAUGUAUGAUAAUGUCGUGACAAGUGUUCGAACAAAUGAUGGCGAUAUUAACCACAGCAAGGGUCAACUUUGAGCCCUUGUCUUUUCUGCUUUGGUGAUGUAUGAGGUCACAAGGGAUAUACAAGGAGAUAUCCAAUGGCGUGUGCUCUUUGCGGAUAAAUGUGGUGCUAGUCGGUGAUAGUCAGACCUAGUUUAAUAGAAAAUUAGAGCCGUCGAGACAAACUUUGGAAUCAAAAGAUUUUAGGCUUAGUAGAACUAAAACUGAGUACACAAGGUGCGGUUUCAGUAUUACUAGGCACGUGGAGAAGGAGGUUAGCCUUGGUGGGCAGGCGGUACCUCAGAAGGAUACCUUUCGAUAUUUGGGGUCAAUGGUGCAGAAGGAUGGUGAUAUCGCUGAAGAUGUGAGCCAUCGAAUCAAAGCUUGAUCGAUGAAGUGGUGCCAAGUUUCUUGUGUUCUUUGUGACAAGAUAGUGCCACAAAAGCUAAAAGCUAGGUAGGAUGGCGAUUCGACCUAUGAUGUUGCAUGGCACAGAAUGUUGGCCAACUAAAAUGGCGACAUGUCCAACAGUUGAGUGUAGCAGAGAUGCACACACUGAGAUGGAUAUGUGGCCACACAAGAAAGGAUUGGGUCCAGAAUGAUGAUAUACGUGAUAGAGUUGGGGUAUCUCAGAUUGAAGAGAAUUUUGUCCAAUAUCGUCUGAGAUGGUUUGGGCAUAUACAACACAGGUAUCCAGAAGCACCAAUGCUUAGCGAACAGAUGAAGCGCACUAAUAAUGUCAAGAGAGGUCGGGGUAGACCAAACUUGACAUGGGAGGGUCCGUAAGAGAGAUCUGAAGGACUUGAAUAUCACCAAAGAACUAGCGAUAGACAUAGGUGGGUGGAUGUUAGCUAUCCACGAGCUAGAACCAUGACUUGGUUUUGAGAUCUUAUGGGUUUCAACUCUAGCCUACCCCAACUUGUUUGGGACUGAAAGGCUUUGUUGUGGUUAUUGUUGUUGUUGGUAGUGGUACUAGGCUGCUACUUGCCAUUGGACAAGAGGUGUUUUGUGCUUUUAAUCUUGAACGCUGAUUCUGUUUUCAUUGAAAAGUCUGAUAAUUUCAAAAUAUUUACCAGUAAUAUUUAUGUUUUUAUUGUUAUUGAUCAGUCAAGUAAUAGGAACUUAAAAUAUCAUAGAAGAUAUGGAAGGCCUAUACAUGUCAGGAAAAUAGUAAAUUUUGGAAGUCCAAAAUAAAACUAAAGGUUUGAGAACAAAGUUGCCUGCACUCACAACUGGUUGGUUGGGAAUAUAGUGCAAUCAGAUGGCCUCUCUGUUGCAAACUUAUGGUACCGUAUACCCUAGUUCCGAACUAGUAUCUAAUUUAUUCAAUGCUUUUAGCGUUGGUGUAGUCCAACAAAUAAAUUUUAGGCCCUCUUUGAUUCGUAGGAUUCUCAAAACGCAGGAAUAGGAAAAAUAAAGGAUUGAAGUGGCAUUGCCCACUUGAAUCCCAUAGGAUUAGCACAGAGUGUUUGAUGCCAUAGGAAAAUCAAAGGAAGUGAAAAAGGGGUGGGAUUGAUUUCCAAUGAAAUCUAGUACACAUGAUUCCAUAGGAAAAAUUCCUAUAGGAUUCAAUCCUAUGAAUCAAACGACCAAUGUAGGAAAAAACCCUAAGGGUUCUAACCCUUUAAAAAUCCCAUGGAAUUCCUUUGAAUCGAAGGAGCCCUUAUUAAAAACUCAUAAUGUGUUAUCUUGUGGUAUGAGUGGUUCCUAUUUAGUUCUGCUUACAUUCUUAAUGCUCUUGUUUCAUGUUUAUUCUGCUUCGUUUUUUAAACAAUUUAUUCUACUUCGUUUUGUGUAGUAGCGAUGGUUAUUUCACAGCGCCCUCUGAAUUUGAUCCUGCUGAACUCAUGAAACUGAAUGUAAGAUUUGUAUUUUUGAGUUAGUAGUACUUCCCACAUACAGUUUCUUAAGCUGGUUUCUUGCUUGCGUAGUUCUGUUCAAAGAAUAAUCACAACAAAUCUUCAAGUUCAACUGGUAAUUGGGUACAAUGCCGUGAGGUCUUGAGCACAGGAGAUCCUAACAAGCCAGUAAUCUGUGGCAAGUGGAGAAGGUAAAGAACUUUGCAGUUUUUUAUUUGAUAGGUAUUUCUAUUAACUUUGAUUUUAUAACAGCUCAAUUACUGGAAAUAUCAAAUUUCAAAUUGCCAUGUCAGCCUCUGUCAUCUGAGUUACUGCAUGCUUGUUACUUAUGAUUCGCUUUUGUACAAAUUCCCUAAACAUUCUUUAGUGUGUAGAAGCUACAAGCCUAGAACUACCUUUUCCAUACUACCUCAAGGUUGUUUGUAUUGGUUCAACUGUUUGCUAGAUAUAUAGCCGCUCAUCUGAACUAUAAACUAGCCACACUUGCUUGAUUUCUAGUCUGAAGCAGGCACGUAGCACAAAAAGAGACAUGUUUAAACUUAUGAUUUUGACCCGACAUACGUUUUUGCUAGAAAUAGACCUUAAGAUCUGAACCCCACAUAAGUUAUAUUAGAAAUAGACGUUGGGUCUUCCACAAGAAUUACGAGUUGACGAGUCGAGCCGAGGUUGAGACUCAUAGACUAAUCGUGACUACUCUAGACUACUGCCGGACUAGUCGACAUGGUACUGUAGUACUCAACUUACAGUACUCAGCUACUAAUGCAUAGUAUGUAGCAUACAUUGUAUAGUACCGUACAGCAUACAGUAAAAAUUGAAUGCAUGGGAAGUGAAUGAAGAACCCAAGGCUGGGCCAAUUGUAAUAUCCAAUGGCCAGGGCCACAGGGGAGAAAUCAAACCCAAGAAGGGAAGGAGUGAAGGGAGAAAUUACUUGCUACAACAUCAGAGGAGUGCUUGCUUGCCAUCGCCGACGCAUCCAGGAGGAACACAGCAGCAGAGGGGCGGAUCCAGGGGAGGAGCAUAACAGUAGGGGCGGAUCCAGCAGAGGAAGAGGAGCAGAAUGCUCCUGGCCACCACCGCCGGCAAUGGCGAGUCAGUGGGUGGCGGCGGCGGCCCUGUCCCAGGUGAGGCGGGCAGGCGGCUCGUUGUGGAGGAGCC